Molecule: ribosomal RNA, 495 nt
Filed under: uncultured bacterium
Lineage: Bacteria
Description: partial 16S ribosomal RNA
Rfam family: Bacterial small subunit ribosomal RNA
Source: RNAcentral
GAUGAACGCUGGCGGCGUGCUUAACACAUGCAAGUCGAGCGAAGCACUUAAGUCUGAUUCUUCGGAUGAAGACUUUUGUGACUGAGCGGCGGACGGGUGAGUAACGCGUGGGUAACCUGCCUCAUACAGGGGGAUAACAGUUAGAAAUGACUGCUAAUACCGCAUAAGACCACGGUACCGCAUGGUACAGUGGUAAAAACUCCGGUGGUAUGAGAUGGACCCGCGUCUGACUAGGUAGUUGGUGGGGUAACGGCCUACCAAGCCGACGAUCGGUAGCCGACCUGAGAGGGAGACCGGCCACAUUGGGACGGAGACACGGCCCAGACUCCUACGGGAGGCAGCGGUGGGGAAUAUUGCACAAUGAAGGAAACUCUGAUGCAGCGACGCCGCGUGAAGGAUGAAGGAUUUCGGUAUGUAAACUUCUAUCAGCAGGGAAGAAAAUGACGGUACCUGACUAAGAAGCCCCGGCUAACUACAUGCCAGCAGCCGCCGUAA